UACAGAGGUCCCAAGCGUUGUUCGGAUUUACUGGGCGUAAAGGGCGCGUAGGUGGUUGGGUAAGUCUGAUGUGAAAUCUCCGGGCUCAACCCGGAAAUGGCAUUGGAAACUACCUGACUAGAGGGUUGGAGGGGGGACUGGAAUACUUGGUGUAGCAGUGAAAUGCGUAGAUAUCAAGUGGAACACCAGUGGCGAAGGCGAGUCCCUGGACAACUCCUGACACUGAGGCACGAAAGCUAGGGGAGCAAACAGG
RNAcentral lists this ribosomal RNA (253 nucleotides) under uncultured bacterium. RNAcentral's name for it is "partial 16S ribosomal RNA". It matches the Rfam family "Bacterial small subunit ribosomal RNA", at positions 524 to 776 of the family's 1533-position model. The record is from RNAcentral.